AAAUAGUUUCAAUUAAAAGCAGGUCGGCUCAGAUUGGAUAUGUAUCUACAUAUUACCGUUGGUUUUCUUUUAUGAAAUUAAAGAACAUCUCUUAUAGUUUUCAAUCAAUUAAUUACAAAGUUAAUUUGGCUUUAUAUAAUACAUAAUUUUUUAUGUUCCUAUAUAUAGAAGAGGACUAACUAAUGCCAACUUCACAAAUAAGAGCUAAAAUGAAAACAAUAAUCCACAAGUCGAUGAUCGCCGGAGUACAGAGCGUCAUGCCGGUGGAAGUGACGCAACAACGUGAAGUCCGUUCCAUAUCAGUCGAAGAUCCCGUCGGAGCAGGAAUAUUCCGGCGAACACUAAACAUAGUUACGUACUACAAACAAGCAGGUGAUAGUGGCGAGAGAGGGUGGUUAGUCGCCGGUUGGAUAAAGGAGUCGUUAGGGAGAGCCUUGACCGAGCAGCCGUUGCUUUGUGGUAGACUGCGGCGGAGGAGGACGACGAAGGGAGAGGAAGAUGGUCUGGAGGUGGUGACCAACGAUAGUGGCGCUAGGCUGGUAGAGGCUAGGUUUCCGGCAAGUUUGCCGGAGUUUUUUGAAAUGGUGAAGAGAGACAAAAACAGAGCUGAAGCAGAGACUGUCUUCUGGAGAGACAUUGAUGAAGUUGAUCCUCAGUUCUCUCCAUUGUUCUAUGUUCAGGUGACUAAUUUUGAGAGUGGUGGAUACUCCAUUGGGAUAAGCUGCAGCAUCCUAAUAGCUGAUCUCCUCAUUGAGACAGAUUUCUUGAAAAAAUGGGCUAAAAUCCAAAGCUCUUUGGCUCAUUCUCAGACCACACUCAAACCAAUCUUCUACCUCCCACCAGUCAAAAGAGAUAAAUUCAUCAAUGAACUUCCUAGGCCAGUCUCGGUUCUUGACCGCGGUGGACCCCUUGUAAUCCGGGCCAAAACAUGCUCGAAAACGCCACUAGCUUGCAUGAAAAAAUCUGUUAAAGCUGCUGAGGAUGUAUUCUUGUUCCUCAAGGAACAAAGCGGUGGCGAAAAUAAUACUACUGAGCGUCAUGGUAUGAAGGUAGAGAUACACUCGAGAGAUGUAGCGAUUGGCGAUUGCGAUUGUGGUGACCAUUUAGAGGAGACAGAUGUUGGAGUACUGCUUGAUGUGAGUUUAGUGUUCGAGGACAAGUUUGAAUUCAAUUCAUGUUGGGUUGGGUCUGUCGCGAAAGGGGUUGUGCUUAUCUUCCCAUCUACUUUGGGAGGGUUUUCACGUCUCGUCUUCGUCUUCUACCUUCUCAUCAUCGAACGCGAGACGCAGAAAUUCGAGCCUGUUCAGUAUCCCUAGCGCCUCCGAUUUCAAUAACUCUGCAACUUAACUCCACUGAGCGGUAGAGAAGAAAGUUGGAGGAAGCAGAGAAGCUUGAUGGAGGAGGACGGAGAAGAAGCUUCACGAGGUGGAGGAGGCUGGACGAACAGACAGCGGAAGAGGCGGGAUGAAAAGGCGGAGGAGGAGGCAUGACGCUCAAGUUUGCCAGCGGUGGAGAGUUCAACAAGAAGAUGGCGGCCUCUUGAUUAGAGUGAUGAGAGGACGAGAUCUUUGUAGAUGCAGUUUUGAGUGAUGAGGUCUGACACGGAGGCCAAGCCGUGGACGUUAAUGGCAGCAUAGAAGCUGGAGACAGCUUCAGAGUUCAGACACAGAUGUGGGAGCUGUUCGGGACGCAAUGUCGAUGGCUGUCUCCCACCACGCAGCUGAUUUUGCAGACGGACUACAAGAUGUGAACAAUUGCCACCGAGUGACGGUUGUUGGUUUCAAACUAUUGCCAGAAAGGUUUAUUCUUUGGACUGGACACCUGAGAUGAACCAGAUUGUCAGUGCAUCUCAACAAGACACGCUCAGUUAGAAGAGAAAAGUGAUGGAAAAGGGAAAGACACAACCAAAGGGCCAAUUGAUAAAGUGCUGAAAAUGCAAUCGUUUAGAUCUUGAAAAGAUACUGAAAAUGUGGGAGAUUGGCACAUUUCUCCAUUAGAGUUACUCCACAGUGGUCCUUUGCUUGAUUUUGAUCUUCUUCCAGGAUGUUGUUCUUCAAUGGCUGCCUUGAGUUUACCGUCUCUACCAAAUGUCCUUAUCUCAGACACUUGUGGAGAAGCUUAUGGUCUCUGUCAAAGCUGCAGAGCCUUUUCCUUCAAUCGUUGCAGCAUCUAAAACUAUUGCAGUGGUUUCAUCUGGAUUGUGUGGAGAUCACGGAGAUGCCAUACAUUUGACAACAAUAAUGCUAUCGAUAUCAAUGAACAUAAAAUUUUCUCCAACUCUCUCUUUUUCAUGUUACCACCACUCCAUUAUAAGAAGCUAUCUAGAGAUUUUUUUUUUCUGCCAACAGCUAUCUAGAGAUUUCAUACUUCAUAAUAACUUUAAAAAUUGAAAAAUAAUCUACAUUUUCAUCUUUUUAGUAUC
RNA transcript from Brassica napus (rape), 2422 nucleotides. RefSeq lists it as uncharacterized. The transcript has 8 exons. The record is from RefSeq and is a predicted model, not a curated record. Lineage: Eukaryota; Viridiplantae; Streptophyta; Magnoliopsida; Brassicales; Brassicaceae.